Molecule: unclassified non-coding RNA, 138 nt
Filed under: soil metagenome
Description: partial internal transcribed spacer 1
Source: RNAcentral
CCUAGGGUUGUAGCUUUGCCUGCUACCUCUUACCCAUGUCUUUUGAGUACCUUCGUUUCCUCGGCGGGUCCGCCCGCCGAUUGGACAAUUUAAACCAUUUGCAGUUGCAAUCAGCGUCUGAAAGAACUUAAUAGUUAC